This is a long non-coding RNA of Drosophila ananassae, 1296 nucleotides long. RefSeq lists it as uncharacterized. The transcript is spliced from 3 exons. NCBI's taxonomy places the organism in Eukaryota, Metazoa, Arthropoda, Insecta, Diptera, Drosophilidae. The record is from RefSeq and is a predicted model, not a curated record.
CUCGUAUGUGGGAAUAGCUUAAAAGAUUUCUGGAUCGAUUCCCUGUCGAUCUGUGUCAAAACCCCGACACAAAUUUUUGGAUCGAUAUUUUUUCAAAUUUUGUGGGGCAACCAAAAUCCAGGACAACCCCUCAACCCCUUACGAAGGGGCACAGCAAUUUUCCAUCUAAACUUUUGAGGCUCAGACUCAACGGCCCGCUUUCCUCGUCAGGACUCUUGACUGAAUCAUCGUCCUGUGAGCUACAAGCAAUUAGUUGCCCCUAAUGCGAAAGUUUUCCAUUUAUCAAACUGUCAGUGGAGUGCGGAAUUGACACGGCUGAUUUAAUUAUUUACUUAGUAAUAUGAUUUAAUUAAAAAUUCAUAUUGGAGUCGCAGGCGAACCGGCUCGAGGGAUGCAGAGUGUGCUGCGAAGACAGUAGGCUGCUGUGUGGGGUGUGUGUGUUUUUUCACCCGCAUGUGUUAAUUUGUAUAAUAAAACUUAAUUAAAGUCAAAACAAACAAACAAACGAGCCGGGGAGACUACGACAAACGCAGGCAAACAAAUAAAGAGGGAAAACUUUCGCCUAGCCGCAAAGCGUUGGCAAAGUGAAGCCGCAAUCAAAGUAGAUUAAGAUUGUGGAGAUCUCGGUUUUCCCUGGCAAUUAAAAAUACGGAUUGCCAUUGGAAAGACACACACAGCACGCAGGACUCACAAUACACAGGAUGGAGUGGAUUUUUCAGUGCACUUUGUGUGCAAAAUUCAACUCUCAGCUCGACAAAACUCAAACGCAUUCCCAAAAGUCAGGGGAGGUCCUGGGGAGCUGGCUGGGAAAGGAGCAUUCCCGCAGAUACGAAUACGCAUCCGGAUCCCCUCCGCCCUAGACGAAAAAGGCCAAACAUGACAGAGAGCCAAACCAGCAGGGCGAAAUGCAAAUUAACAUUCGGAAUGUGGAACGGUUCUUGCAGCUAAUUUGCAUAAAGCGUUGGCGUCCACGUCCUGGCUCCUCCACCCUGGCUCCCUCCACUUGGGGCGUAAAACAUUUUUACAAUAUUUACGAAAUUGCAAUAAUGUUUGAAAAGCAGAACAGCAGCAGCUGAGGAGGCGAUGGAAAAAUGCGUUUUGUUCCUUUUGCGAUGCGGCAAAUUGUUGCCGAGAAGGACGACAUUUUGCUGACAGGCGAACAUGCUGCAGGAGUCGUCCUCGAACGGGGAAAUACGAAUUUAUGGGCCAAACAACAGGAGGCUCACCAUCGCACACACACACAACCAUGGAGUGUACAAACGAGUAGUCCUGUAUGCGUCCUGUCAAAUCAAAUGG